RNAcentral lists this ribosomal RNA (253 nucleotides) under uncultured prokaryote. RNAcentral's name for it is "partial 16S ribosomal RNA". It matches the Rfam family "Bacterial small subunit ribosomal RNA", at positions 524 to 776 of the family's 1533-position model. The record is from RNAcentral.
UACGGAGGUCUCAAGCGUUGUUCGGAUUCAUUGGGCGUAAAGGGUGCGUAGGUGGCCUGUUAAGUCAGGGGUGAAAGACGGUAGCUCAACUAUCGCAGUGCCUUUGAUACUGAUGGGCUUGAAUGUACUUGAAGUAGGCGGAAUGUGACAAGUAGCGGUGAAAUGCAUAGAUAUGUCACAGAACACCGAUUGCGAAGGCAGCUUACUAAAGUAUGAUUGACGCUGAGGCACGAAAGCGUGGGGAUCAAACAGG